This 71-nucleotide transfer RNA is filed under the name Nemania diffusa. Its description in RNAcentral is "tRNA-Gly". It matches the Rfam family "tRNA". From Rfam's summary of the family: Transfer RNA (tRNA) molecules are approximately 80 nucleotides in length. Their secondary structure includes four short double-helical elements and three loops (D, anti-codon, and T loops). Further hydrogen bonds mediate the characteristic L-shaped molecular structure. tRNAs have two regions of fundamental functional importance: the anti-codon, which is responsible for specific mRNA codon recognition, and the 3' end, to which the tRNAs corresponding amino acid is attached (by aminoacyl-tRNA synthetases). tRNAs cope with the degeneracy of the genetic code in two manners: having more than one tRNA (with a specific anti-codon) for a particular amino acid; and 'wobble' base-pairing, i.e. permitting non-standard base-pairing at the 3rd anti-codon position. Lineage: Eukaryota; Fungi; Ascomycota; Sordariomycetes; Xylariales; Xylariaceae. The record is from RNAcentral.
GCGAUUGUAGUUUAAUGGUAAAGCACUCGUCUUCCAAACGAUAAUUGUCGGUUCGAAUCCGACCAAUUGUA